Molecule: ribosomal RNA, 251 nt
Filed under: uncultured prokaryote
Description: partial 16S rRNA
Rfam family: Bacterial small subunit ribosomal RNA
Source: RNAcentral
ACGUAGGGUGCAAGCGUUGUCCGGAUUUAUUGGGCGUAAAGAGCUCGUAGGCGGUUAGUCACGUCGGAUGUGAAGACCCGGAGCUUAACUCCGGGCCUGCAUUCGAUACGGGCUGACUAGAGUGUUGUAGGGGAGACUGGAACUCCUGGUGUAGCGGUGAAAUGCGCAGAUAUCAGGAAGAACACCGGUGGCGAAGGCGGGUCUCUGGGCAACUACUGACGCUGAGGAGCGAAAGCGUGGGGAGCAAACAG